Molecule: long non-coding RNA, 1110 nt
Organism: Dreissena polymorpha
Lineage: Eukaryota; Metazoa; Mollusca; Bivalvia; Myida; Dreissenidae
Exons: 3
Source: RefSeq, a predicted model, not a curated record
CAAUAGGUCAGUAACUGCCCUUUGAAUAUAUUUCGAUGAAGAUAAAUAAAUGAAAAUAAAUUGCAAUAUACGUGAAAACCCAAUGUGUUUAGUACUCAUCACUAACAAAAGUAACAUCAGUUAAAGAUUCUUGGCCAAACGAAACAUCAAUGCCAAGCUGGCAGAUCUUCAUGGAAUCAGCAGAUCAUCUGUCUUACGUAAUUUGACAUGCCUUCAUGAGUUCAAUCAACAAACAUAUGCUCGGUUUCAAGUCCAUGUACAACAAGAAAUAUGCAUGAAGGAUGGAUUCCGCCACAAGUCCUGGGAGCAGUGGAUGGGACUCUCAUACCCAUAAUACUGAAUAGGUUAUAUGACACACAUGCAGUUGAACACAGCAGAAACUCUUGAAGAAAAAAAUGUGUAUUUUUUUUAUUUGAACUUAAAUGUAAAUAAUAUAUUUAAUUUGAGCUCAACUAUACCUUGAAUAAUUAGCUGUUAAUGAUAUUAAGGUUAACAUGCAACGUCCUUAUAUCACUGUUUCUACUACAGAUUUUCAUUAAAAGCACUAAUGUAUUCAGGGUCAUUAUGUUAGGUCAAUGACUAAGGUCUAUAUCUCUGACCUGCAUUUAGCUUAAUAAUGCCCCUUUUUAAUGCCCCCGGAUAGAAAGAUCGGGAGUAUAUUGAUUUUGGUCUGUCUGUCUGUCUGUCAGUCAGUCAGUCAGUCGGUCAUUGUGUAUGUCCCAAAACUUUAAACUUGGCCAUAUCUUUUGCAAUAUUGAAGUUAGCAACUUGAUAUGUGGCAUGCAUGUGUAUCUCAUGGAGCUGCACAUUUUGAGUGGUGAAAGGUCAAGAUCAUUCUUCGAGGUCAGAGGUCGUACAUAUGGCUUCAAAGCAGCGCAAUAGGGGGCAUUGUGUUUCUGACAAACACAUCUCUUGUUGAACUUAAAAUGUUCCACUUAAAUUGUGUGUACAGCUACUCCAUAUCCCUAUAUUUUCCACAGAUAUUCAAAUAAUCCUUUACAUAUGUAGUCAGAAUUUUUAUUUAAAAAAUUAUAUAAUUAAUAUAUAUUUGGGUGAUUGUUGUAAACACUACAAAUAUUUACUGUUGUUGCGAAUAAAGUUGUUGAAACU